Molecule: long non-coding RNA, 1324 nt
Organism: Mus musculus (house mouse)
Lineage: Eukaryota; Metazoa; Chordata; Mammalia; Rodentia; Muridae
Product: predicted gene 4047
Exons: 6
Source: RefSeq, a predicted model, not a curated record
CCUCCCAAAGAACUGCCACUCCAGGUUCCUGUCUGCAAGCACCUCUUGACCACAGGAACAGUGUCUGCUUUGGUUUCUGCAGACAGGAUGGAUCCCCAGGAGCUCGGUAUUGGCUGUUCCCUGAGAGGUUGUACAAGUACCUGACCAAUUCAGAUGCAGAUACAGCCAACCAUCAGAAGGAGCCCAGGGACCCCCAAGGAAGAGGUUGUGAGAAAACAUUCUUACCAAAGAAAGCAGUAUACAUGAGAGGAAAAGUUUCUUUAGCUGAAAAUUCUAGAUUAUAGUACAUGUCAGUAAGAAAGGCAAAAUAGCAUGGAAGUUAAAGUAUUGCCCCACAACCUUAGAGCAGAGAAAAUUGAUGGAUGCAUUCUUCAAGUAUUGAAAUGACUUUCCUUCUCAAUCAAUCCCAGUUUAUUCAGUCCAAGAGUGCUCCCUAUAUUCAAGCUUCACCAGUUCCUGUCACUUCCCAAUAGCAUGAUGCUGAAGACUGGAUUUUACUAUGUAAACAUUUUCAAGACACUGAAGAUUUGAAGUAUUUUUUAAUAUAGCCAACUUUUCUCAUAACAAGUCCUUUAUUUGAAUCAGGCAAAUAUGCAAACAGAAUGCUGUUGUAAGACUCCAGGGAGCCUUAGCUUUCUGGAGAUCCUGUGAAUAAAACACAUGAAGUUGGGAUUGAUGCAAAAAGCAAGAGGAAUUUAUUGUUCCUGUGCACGAGGUUCGUCCCAGACCCAAAGGAGAGGCAGUGGCCCCCAGCACCCAACUGCCCCCAGACUAGAGAUGAACCUACUACAUUGUGAAUGCUGGCAAAUACUCUACAACUGUAUUACAUCCCAGGGCUGGAACCCAACUCAUCUUCUGCAACAAUUACAGGGCAGGCUGGAUGAAGACACUCAACCUACAAUGUGGCCAUCUCAUGACUGGUUCAUGAGAAUGGCUUCCAAAAUGAUUUCAAGACUGGGAAUGUUUAGCUAUCUGGGAGAGAAAAUAAGGAGACUCAGUCUACACUGUACAUUAAGGACUGUUUAUUCUGUUAAAGGCUAACAUAGAUUAUUGACUCAUGUCACAUGUGAAAGUAAAUAAAAAUCCAGGUUAAUGUAUGCAUCUGGUAGGAUUUACCAAACACACCACCAUACAUGAGUGGACUUAGAAAGACCCAGGCCCCUCAGGGUUCUAAGGUAUUCAAGGAGUCCCCACAAAUACAAUAGUAACAUGCUAGUGUAGUCUAAAUUCUCUCUCACUGGUCUCACCUCAGUUCUAGUGUACUGCUGAGUGGGGCUUUGGGCUAUGCACAGACAGGCUGGUCUCCAGUUGAGCUGUGGUCUGA